GGGGCUGUAGCUCAGUGGUAGAGCACUUGCCUCGCAGGUAUGAGAACCUGGGUUCGAUCCUCAGCACCA
This 69-nucleotide transfer RNA is filed under the name Ictidomys tridecemlineatus (thirteen-lined ground squirrel). Its description in RNAcentral is "Spermophilus tridecemlineatus (thirteen-lined ground squirrel) tRNA". It matches the Rfam family "tRNA". Rfam says of the family: Transfer RNA (tRNA) molecules are approximately 80 nucleotides in length. Their secondary structure includes four short double-helical elements and three loops (D, anti-codon, and T loops). The record is from Rfam by way of RNAcentral. Lineage: Eukaryota; Metazoa; Chordata; Mammalia; Rodentia; Sciuridae.